RNAcentral lists this ribosomal RNA (605 nucleotides) under Hepatozoon sp. Its description in RNAcentral is "SSU rRNA". It matches the Rfam family "Eukaryotic small subunit ribosomal RNA", at positions 317 to 915 of the family's 1831-position model. The record is from RNAcentral. Lineage: Eukaryota; Apicomplexa; Hepatozoidae.
AGCUUUCGACGGUAUGGUAUUGGCUUACCGUGGCAGUGACGGUUAACGGGGGAUUAGGGUUCGAUUCCGGAGAGGGAGCCUGAGAAACGGCUACCACAUCUAAGGAAGGCAGCAGGCGCGCAAAUUACCCAAUUCUAACAGUUUGAGAGAGGUAGUAACAAGAAAUAACAAUACAAGGCAGUUAAAAUGCUUUGUAAUUGGAAUGAUAGAAAUUUAAACCCUUUUUAAAGUAUCAAUUGGAGGGCAAGUCUGGUGCCAGCAGCCGCGGUAAUUCCAGCUCCAAUAGCGUAUAUUAAAAUUGUUGCAGUUAAAAAGCUCGUAGUUGAAGUUCUGCUGAAAGUAACCGGUCUGCUUUUAAUAAAAGUGGUAUCUUGGUAUGUAUUUAGCAAUGAUGUCCUUUGAAGUGUUUUUUACUUUAUUGUAAUAAAGCAUAUUCAGGACUUUUACUUUGAGAAAAUUAGAGUGUUUCUAGCAGGCUGACGCUUUGAAUACUGCAGCAUGGAAUAAUAAGAUAGGAUUUUAGUUCUACAUUAUUGGUUUUAAGAGCUAAAUUAAUGAUUGAUAGGGACAGUUGGGGGCAUUUGUAUUUAACUGUCAGAGGUGAA